UAAAUAUAGCUAGGUGUACUUGUUUGAUUCAUUGUGAUUCUGCUGGAAUCUACUGAAUGCUAAUCAUUAUUGAUGUUUAAUGACAUCAUGUUGAAACAUUGUUUCAUUUUGAAUAAAAGAGGCAUAUCCUAUUUAAUGACAAAAUAAUUCUGAGAAACUCAAGUGACCAUAUACUUGUAAACGUCAACAGAUGUAACGGACAUAAAAAUUUUACUAGCAUAUAGCUGUAAUAAAAAUGGAGAUUGAGGAAGUAAAAAUUAUUACCUCAUGCAAUUGGGAAAAUUAUAUGUCUAUCUCAAAUUGGUGGAUACUGAAAGCUAAUCCACUUGGAUUAAAUUUCUUCUUCUUUUUUUUUUUUAAGUCUUUAUUUAUUUUUAUGUGGUGCUAAGGAUUGAACCCAGCGCCUCGCACAUGCUAGGCAAGCACUCUACCACUGAGCCACAACCCCAGCCCCUGGAUUAAACUUCUUUAUGAAAGUAGUUACAAUAUUAUAUGGUUAUAUUAGUGGGAAUUAGGUCUUUAUAUUAGUUGUAUUACUUAAAAGUGCAUUAAAAACAAAAGUUCUAACCGUUUUCAACACAGGUAUGAAAGUGAAAUUGUUAGCUUUUUAAAAAAUGGACUUUAUGUACAUUAUUAAAAUAAUAUGAAAAGGUUAUCUCCUGAGUCAGGCUGGCUACUGUUGUACACCUACUUUAGUAGCAGAAUUAUCUAGUUACAAUUUAUUACGUUCAUUUUAUUUAAGUACUGAAAGUUUUACUUUUUAAGCUUCUUUGCUAACUGAAAACAGAAACUAAAAAACAAAAAUGUUAAGCACAACAAUC
RNAcentral lists this long non-coding RNA (821 nucleotides) under Marmota monax (woodchuck). The record is from RNAcentral. Lineage: Eukaryota; Metazoa; Chordata; Mammalia; Rodentia; Sciuridae.